RNAcentral lists this transfer RNA (51 nucleotides) under Pholcus phalangioides (longbodied cellar spider). RNAcentral describes it as "tRNA-Ala". The record is from RNAcentral. Lineage: Eukaryota; Metazoa; Arthropoda; Arachnida; Araneae; Pholcidae.
GAAAGAAGGGUGUAAAUGAUUAAUUUGCAAUUAAUUUAAAGAGUAUGAUUA